This 1018-nucleotide ribosomal RNA is filed under the name human gut metagenome. RNAcentral describes it as "bacterial SSU rRNA". It matches the Rfam family "Bacterial small subunit ribosomal RNA", at positions 508 to 1520 of the family's 1533-position model. The record is from RNAcentral.
CCAGCAGCCGCGGUAAUACGUAGGGUGCAAGCGUUAUCCGGAAUUAUUGGGCGUAAAGGGCUCGUAGGCGGUUCGUCGCGUCCGGUGUGAAAGUCCAUCGCUUAACGGUGGAUCCGCGCCGGGUACGGGCGGGCUUGAGUGCGGUAGGGGAGACUGGAAUUCCCGGUGUAACGGUGGAAUGUGUAGAUAUCGGGAAGAACACCAAUGGCGAAGGCAGGUCUCUGGGCCGUUACUGACGCUGAGGAGCGAAAGCGUGGGGAGCGAACAGGAUUAGAUACCCUGGUAGUCCACGCCGUAAACGGUGGAUGCUGGAUGUGGGGCCCGUUCCACGGGUUCCGUGUCGGAGCUAACGCGUUAAGCAUCCCGCCUGGGGAGUACGGCCGCAAGGCUAAAACUCAAAGAAAUUGACGGGGGCCCGCACAAGCGGCGGAGCAUGCGGAUUAAUUCGAUGCAACGCGAAGAACCUUACCUGGGCUUGACAUGUUCCCGACGAUCCCAGAGAUGGGGUUUCCCUUCGGGGCGGGUUCACAGGUGGUGCAUGGUCGUCGUCAGCUCGUGUCGUGAGAUGUUGGGUUAAGUCCCGCAACGAGCGCAACCCUCGCCCCGUGUUGCCAGCGGAUUAUGCCGGGAACUCACGGGGGACCGCCGGGGUUAACUCGGAGGAAGGUGGGGAUGACGUCAGAUCAUCAUGCCCCUUACGUCCAGGGCUUCACGCAUGCUACAAUGGCCGGUACAACGGGAUGCGACAGUGCGAGCUGGAGCGGAUCCCUGAAAACCGGUCUCAGUUCGGAUCGCAGUCUGCAACUCGACUGCGUGAAGGCGGAGUCGCUAGUAAUCGCGAAUCAGCAACGUCGCGGUGAAUGCGUUCCCGGGCCUUGUACACACCGCCCGUCAAGUCAUGAAAGUGGGCAGCACCCGAAGCCGGUGGCCUAACCCCUUGCGGGAGGGAGCCGUCUAAGGUGAGGCUCGUGAUUGGGACUAAGUCGUAACAAGGUAGCCGUACCGGAAGGUGCGGCUG